AUGUGGACCUGUCUUCGUGAGCGCUAUCAGCCCUCUGGUGAUGCCUUAUACCUCUCUGUGAUCCGUCAGGAGCAUGCUCUUCAGCAGGGUGACUCUACUGUUGAUGACUUCUAUGCAUAGAGUUCUGCUAUCUGGCGCCAGCUUGAUUCUCUCCGUAGUGCUGGGUGUCGUACCUGCCCCUGUUGCCAGGCUGUCCAGGCCAAUUUGGAGUUUCAUCGCGUCUAUGAGUUCCUGUCUCGGCUCCGUAAGGAGUUUGAGCCCCGGCGUGCUCAGUUGUUUGCUCGUGGCCGUAUUUCUCUCAUGGAGGCGCUUUUUGAGAUUCGUGCUGAGGAGACUCGCUUACGUGGUGCUGGUUUGCUGGAGGUUCCCUCUGUGCUUGCUACUCGUGCUUCUACGCCACCUGCUCCAUCGACUACUUCUCGCUCGAGUGCUCCGCCGCUCUUGCCCACUCCUUUUGGAGGCUCAGGUCGCCCCCGUCCACAUUGCGCCUAUUGCAACAAUGAUGGUCAUCUUGAGUCUCAGUGCUACACGAAGAAGAAACACCUGCGCAAGGCUCGAUCAUCAUCUUCAGGGACUUCGUCA
This 582-nucleotide ribosomal RNA is filed under the name Triticum aestivum (bread wheat). Its description in RNAcentral is "partial small subunit ribosomal RNA". Lineage: Eukaryota; Viridiplantae; Streptophyta; Magnoliopsida; Poales; Poaceae. The record is from RNAcentral.